AUUGAACGCUGGCGGUAGGCCUAACACAUGCAAGUCGAACGGCAGCACAGUAAGAGCUUGCUCUUACGGGUGGCGAGUGGCGGACGGGUGAGGAAUACAUCGGAAUCUACUUUUUCGUGGGGGAUAACGUAGGGAAACUUACGCUAAUACCGCAUACGACCUACGGGUGAAAGCAGGGGAUCUUCGGACCUUGCGCGAUUGAAUGAGCCGGUGUCGGAUUAGCUAGUUGGCGGGGUAAAGUCCCACCAAGGCGACGAUCCGUAGCUGGUCUGAGAGGAUGAUCAGCCACACUGGAACUGAGACACGGUCCAGACUCCUACGGGAGGCAGCAGUGGGGAAUAUUGGACAAUGGGCGCAAGCCUGAUCCAGCCAUACCGCGUGGGUGAAGAAGGCCUUCGGGUUGUAAAGCCCUUUUGUUGGGAAAGAAAAGCAGCAGGUUAAUACCCCGCUGUUCUGACGGUACCCAAAGAAUAAGCACCGGCUAACUUCGUG
Molecule: ribosomal RNA, 492 nt
Filed under: uncultured bacterium
Lineage: Bacteria
Description: partial 16S ribosomal RNA
Rfam family: Bacterial small subunit ribosomal RNA
Source: RNAcentral